Molecule: ribosomal RNA, 2256 nt
Filed under: human gut metagenome
Description: bacterial LSU rRNA
Rfam family: Bacterial large subunit ribosomal RNA
Source: RNAcentral
AGGGCAUACGGCGGAUGCCUAGGCGCCAUCAGCCGAUGAAGGACGCGGUAAGCUGCGAAAAGCUACGGGGAACUGCAAGCAAGUAUUGAUCCGUAGAUGUCCGAAUGGGGAAACCCACCUGCCGUCAUGGGCAGGUAUCCGAAAGGAAGGGAACCCGGGGAACUGAAACAUCUAAGUACCCGGAGGAAGAGAAAUCAAACGAGAUGCCCACAGUAGCGGCGAGCGAAGAGGGCAGAGGGCAAACCGGUGAGCUACGGCUCGCCGGGGUUGAGGACUGCAUUUAGUCUCAAUGGUCUAUCCGAACUACCUGGAAAGGUAGGCAAUACAGUGUAAAAGCCACGUAGGUUAAAGACCGGAGAGAUGAGCAGUAUCCAGAGUACCACGAGGCACGAGGAAUCUUGUGGGAAGCCGGGGGGACCACCCUCCAACCCUAAACACUGAAUGGCGACCGAUAGCGCAUAGUACCGUGAGGGAAAGGUGAAAAGAACCCCGGGAGGGGAGUGAAAGAGAACCUGAAACCGUAUGUCUACAAGCAGUCGGAGCGAAAGCGACGGCGUGCCUAUUGAAGAAUGAACCAACGAGUUACGUGCACUAGCGAGGUUAAGUGGAAGACACGGAGCCGAAGCGAAAGCGAGUCUUAAGAGGGCGGAUAGUUAGUGUACGUAGACCCGAAACCGCAGUGAUCUACCCAUGUCCAGGUUGAAGCGCAGGUAAAAUUGCGUGGAGGACCGAACCUGUGAGCGUUGAAAAGCUUUAGGAUGAGAUGUGGGUAGAGGUGAAAUUCCAAUCGAACGCGGAGAUAGCUGGUUCUCCCCGAAAUAGCUUUAGGGCUAGCCUCAAGUAGUAAGUAUAGGCGGUAGAGCACUGAUCGGGCUAGGGGCCAUAAAGGUUACCGAACCCUGUCAAACUCCGAAUGGUUAUACUGUAGAGCUUGGGAGUCAGACUACGAGUGAUAAGAUCCGUGGUCAAAAGGGAAACAGCCCAGACCACCAGCUAAGGUCCCCAAUGUCGUACUAAGUGGAAAAGGAUGUGGGGUCUCUAAAACAACCAGGAUGUUGGCUUAGAAGCAGCCACCAUUUAAAGAGUGCGUAAUAGCUCACUGGUCGAGAGACCCUGCGCCGAAGAUUACCGGGGCUAAAGUACGAAACCGAAGCUGUGGCUACGACAUAUGUCGUGGGGUAGGGGAGCGUUCUGUGAGGGCUGAAGUCGUUCUGUAAGGAACGGUGGACUUCACAGAAGUGAGAAUGUUGGUAUGAGUAGCGAAAAGAAUGGUGAGAAUCCAUUCCACCGAAAGCAUAAGGAUUCCUGGGCAACGAUCGUCGUCCCAGGGUAAGUCGGGACCUAAUCCGAGGCAUGGAGCGUAGGAGAUGGACAACUGGCAGAUAUUCCAGUACCGGUAAUGAUUGUUUGAGCGAUGGAGUGACACAGGAGGGCAGGCAGGCAGGAGAUUGGUUGUUCCUGUACAAGCGUGUAGGAUGGGACGCAGGCAAAUCCGCGUCCUGUGAGUCUGAGGCGUGAUGUGGAGGUUCCGGAAACGGAACUGAAGCUGCUGACCCCACACUGUCGAGAAAAGCUUCUAGUUAGAGAAUUACCGCCCGUACCGUAAACCGACACAGGUAUGCGGGGAGAGAAUCCUAAGGUGCGCGGGAGAACCCUCGUUAAGGAACUCGGCAAAAUGUACCCGUAACUUCGGGAUAAGGGUAGCCGCUGUUGUGAAGUCUGCACAGACGGAGCAUGAGGCGGUCGCAGAGAAGAGGCCCAAGCGACUGUUUACCACAAACACAGGUGCCUGCUAAAGAGAAAUCUGACGUAUAGGUGCUGACACCUGCCCAGUGCCGGAAGGUUAAGGAAGGAUGUCCGGAGCAAUCCAAAGCAUUCGACCGAAGCCCCGGUGAACGGCGGCCGUAACUAUAACGGUCCUAAGGUAGCGAAAUUCCUUGUCGGGUAAGUUCCGACCCGCACGAAAGGUGUAACGAUUUGGGCACUGUCUCAACGAGGGACCCGGUGAAAUUGAAGUACCUGUGAAGAUGCAGGUUACCCGCGACUGGACAGAAAGACCCCAUGGAGCUUUACUGUAACCUGACAUUGGGUUCUGAUACAUCACGUACAGGAUAGGUGGGAGGCAUGGAAGCGAGGACGCUAGUCUUCGUGGAGCCGCCGUUGGGAUACCACCCUUGAUGUAUCGGAAUUCUAACCGUAGGAGUAACGAAACUCGGGACAGUGUCAGGCGGGCAGUUUGACUGGGGCGGUCGCCUC